Molecule: long non-coding RNA, 915 nt
Organism: Ictalurus furcatus (blue catfish)
Lineage: Eukaryota; Metazoa; Chordata; Actinopteri; Siluriformes; Ictaluridae
Exons: 3
Source: RefSeq, a predicted model, not a curated record
CUGAUGGAUACACUUCUCUGUAAAUGGUAAUGAAUUCUGCUGCCACCAUCAUCAAUAAAGAUUAAUGAACCCACUCAAGAAGCAGCCAUGCACGCUGUGACACUACCUCCAACAUGCUUGACCAAUAACCGUGUAUGUUUUGAACCAUGAGCAGAUCCAUUCUUUCUACAUACUUUGGCCUUUCCAUUACUUGGGUAAUGGUUAAUCUUGGUUCCAGUCUGGCUUUUUGAUUCUUGUUGCUGAUGAGUCGUUUGCAUCUUGUGCUAUUGCCGCUAUAUUUCUGCUCUCUAAGUCUUCUUCAAAUGGUGGAUUGUGAUAGCUUCACCUCUGCCCUGUUGAGGUUGUUGGUGGUCACUGAAUGUUGUUUUGGGAUUUUUCUUCACAGUUCUCACAAUAUUUCUGUCAUCAAAUGCUGUCGUGUUCCUUGGCCAACCUGUUCCACGGGUGAUUUCUGCAGCGCGGACCAGGCUGAAAUGUCUCCAUCUUCACAAUUCUAUGAUCAGGGAUUUCCUUUGUCACCAUUUCUGUACACCGGCAUCGGGGCUGUGUUAGAAGUCCUGUUGUGUUAAAGAGAAAGAGAGAUGUGACCAGUGGAAAAACAGAGAUUUUCAAAUCGAAGGGAGUUAGACUCUUGUCUUCCCAGAUGGCAGAGAGAUUUGUACGAUGAUUCAUCAACUCCAAUUCUUAUGUCAAAUGUUUUAAAGAUUUUAAUAAAGUUCACCUUAAUUUCAUGCAAUUGUUUAUUUUGUGAGCAUUUUAGUAGAAUUUUAGCAUACAAACAAAUUGCAUUUUAGGAUAAUUGUAGGGAAAAAGUAUAAACAAAUACAUUUUUGUGUUAUCUUCUAACACAUCUUUGUGUGGAAAUGUUUAACACACAGCGUGUGUGCUAACACACUAAUUGUGUUAAAAGUAACA